Molecule: ribosomal RNA, 497 nt
Filed under: uncultured bacterium
Lineage: Bacteria
Description: partial 16S ribosomal RNA
Rfam family: Bacterial small subunit ribosomal RNA
Source: RNAcentral
GAUGAACGCUGGCGGCGUGCCUAAUACAUGCAAGUCGAGCGAACAGAUGAGGAGCUUGCUCCUCUGACGUUAGCGGCGGACGGGUGAGUAACACGUGGAUAACCUACCUAUAAGACUGGGAUAACUUCGGGAAACCGGAGCUAAUACCGGAUAAUAUAUUGAACCGCAUGGUUCAAUAGUGAAAGACGGUUUUGCUGUCACUUAUAGAUGGAUCCGCGCCGCAUUAGCUAGUUGGUAAGGUAACGGCUUACCAAGGCAACGAUGCGUAGCCGACCUGAGAGAGUGAUCGGCCACACUGGAGCUGAGACACGGUCCAGACUCCUACGGGAGGCAGCAGUAGGGAAUCUUCCGCAAUGGGCGAAAGCCUGACGGAGCAACGCCGCGUGAGUGAUGAAGGUCUUCGGAUCGUAAAACUCUGUUAUUAGGGAAGAACAAAUGUGUAAGUAACUAUGCACGUCCUGACGGUACCUAAUCAGAAAGCCACGGCUAACUACGUG